Molecule: ribosomal RNA, 253 nt
Filed under: uncultured bacterium
Lineage: Bacteria
Description: partial 16S ribosomal RNA
Rfam family: Bacterial small subunit ribosomal RNA
Source: RNAcentral
UACAGAGGGUGCGAGCGUUAAUCGGAAUUACUGGGCGUAAAGCGCACGUAGGUGGCUUGGCAAGUCGGGUGUGAAAUCCCCGGGCUCAACCUGGGAACUGCAUUCGAGACUGCCUUGCUAGAGUAUGGGAGAGGGAAGUGGAAUUUCCGGUGUAGCGGUGAAAUGCGUAGAUAUUGGGAGGAACACCAGUGGCGAAGGCGGCUACCUGGACCGGUUCUGACGCUGAGGCGCGAAAGCGUGGGUAGCAAACAGG